AGGUCGGAGGGACACUUAUACCUAUUGGUCUUAGCUAACUACUCUUGACAGUAGAGUGUUACAUUGGUUAUGUUCAAUGCAGAUGUACUCAUAUAUCUCACUUGAAUGCCAUACCAGUAUCUCCACACCACUUGGUUACGAGGACAACCAACGCAUAUGGCAUAUAGCGACCUACACUUGAUAAGUCAUCAUCCUUAUUAAUAACUUAUCAUUUGAUCGUGAACAAUUUAAGAACCAUCCGA
Molecule: long non-coding RNA, 242 nt
Filed under: Elaeis guineensis (African oil palm)
Lineage: Eukaryota; Viridiplantae; Streptophyta; Magnoliopsida; Arecales; Arecaceae
Description: long non-coding RNA (EGUI_LNC046240)
Source: RNAcentral